GGGCCAGACUCCUACGGGAGGCAGCAGUGGGGAAUAUUGCACAAUGGGGGAAACCCUGAUGCAGCAACGCCGCGUGAGUGAGGAAGUAUUUCGGUAUGUAAAGCUCUAUCAGCAGGGAAUAGAAAAGAAGGUACCUGAAAAAGAAGCCCCGGCUAACUACGUGCCAGCAGCCGCGGUAAUACGUAGGGGGCAAGCGUUAUCCGGAUUUACUGGGUGUAAAGGGAGCGUAGGCGGGAGCGCAAGUCAGAUGUGAAAACUCAGGGCUCAACCCUGAGCCUGCAUUUGAAACUGUGUUUCUUGAGUGCUGGAGAGGCAAUCGGAAUUCCGUGUGUAGCGGUGAAAUGCGUAGAUAUACGGAGGAACACCAGUGGCGAAGGCGGCCUGCUGGACGACAACUGACGGUGAGGCGCGAAAGCGUGGGGAGCAAACAGGAUUAGAUACCCUUGUAGG
This 450-nucleotide ribosomal RNA is filed under the name uncultured bacterium. Its description in RNAcentral is "bacterial SSU rRNA". It matches the Rfam family "Bacterial small subunit ribosomal RNA", at positions 328 to 794 of the family's 1533-position model. The record is from RNAcentral.